AGAGUUUGAUCAUGGCUCAGGAUGAACGCUAGCUACAGGCUUAACACAUGCAAGUCGAGGGGAAACGAUAUUGGAAGCUUGCUUCCGAUAGGCGUCGACCGGCGCACGGGUGAGUAACGCGUAUCCAACCUGCCCACCACUUGGGGAUAACCUUGCGAAAGUAAGACUAAUACCCCAAUGAUAUCUCUAGAAGACAUCUGAAAAGAGAUUAAAGAUUUAUCGGUGAUGGAUGGGGAUGCGUCUGAUUAGCUUGUUGGCGGGGUAACGGCCCACCAAGGCAACGAUCAGUAGGGGUUCUGAGAGGAAGGUCCCCCCACAUUGGAACUGAGACACGGUCCAAACUCCUACGGGAGGCAGCA
This 359-nucleotide ribosomal RNA is filed under the name uncultured bacterium. RNAcentral's name for it is "bacterial SSU rRNA". It matches the Rfam family "Bacterial small subunit ribosomal RNA", at positions 8 to 353 of the family's 1533-position model. The record is from RNAcentral.